AAGGAUUUAAGUUAAAAAAACUAUUGACCUUCAAAGUCAAAAUUAGGAACGUCCUAAGCCUUA
RNAcentral lists this transfer RNA (63 nucleotides) under Curculionoidea sp. 9 KM-2017. Its description in RNAcentral is "tRNA-Trp". Lineage: Eukaryota; Metazoa; Arthropoda; Insecta; Coleoptera. The record is from RNAcentral.